GAGGCUUAACACAUGCAAGUCGAGGGGCAGCAUGGUCUUAUCUUGCUAAGACUGAUGGCGACCGGCGCACGGGUGAGUAACACGUAUCCAACCUGCCGUCUACUCUUGGACAGCCUUCUGAAAGGAAGAUUAAUACAAGAUGGCAUCAUGAGUCCGCAUGUUCACAUGAUUAAAGGUAUUCCGGUAGACGAUGGGGAUGCGUUCCAUUAGAUAGUAGGCGGGGUAACGGCCCACCUAGUCUUCGAUGGAUAGGGGUUCUGAGAGGAAGGUCCCCCACAUUGGAACUGAGACACGGUCCAAACUCCUACGGGAGGCAGCAGUGAGGAAUAUUGGUCAAUGGGCGAGAGCCUGAACCAGCCAAGUAGCGUGAAGGAUGACUGCCCUAUGGGUUGUAAACUUCUUUUAUAAAGGAAUAAAGUCGGGUAUGGAUACCCGUUUGCAUGUACUUUAUGAAUAAGGAUCGGCUAACUCCGUGCCAGCAGCCGCGGUAAUACGGAGGAUCCGAGCGUUAUCCGGAUUUAUUGGGUUUAAAGGGAGCGUAGAUGGAUGUCUAAGUCAGUUGUGAAAGUUUGCGGCUCAACCGUAAAAUUGCAGUUGAUACUGGAUAUCUUGAGUGCAGUUGAGGCAGGCGGAAUUCGUGGUGUAGCGGUGAAAUGCUUAGAUAUCACGAAGAACUCCGAUUGCGAAGGCAGCCUGCUAAGCUGCAACUGACAUUGAGGCUCGAAAGUGUGGGUAUCAAACAGGAUUAGAUACCCUGGUAGUCCACACGGUAAACGAUGAAUACUCGCUGUUUGCGAUAUACUGCAAGCGGCCAAGCGAAAGCGUUAAGUAUUCCACCUGGGGAGUACGCCGGCAACGGUGAAACUCAAAGGAAUUGACGGGGGCCCGCACAAGCGGAGGAACAUGUGGUUUAAUUCGAUGAUACGCGAGGAACCUUACCCGGGCUUAAAUUGCAGAUGAAUUACGGUGAAAGCCGUAAGCCGCAAGGCAUCUGUGAAGGUGCUGCAUGGUUGUCGUCAGCUCGUGCCGUGAGGUGUCGGCUUAAGUGCCAUAACGAGCGCAACCCUUGUUGUCAGUUACUAACAGGUUCCGCUGAGGACUCUGACAAGACUGCCAUCGUAAGAUGUGAGGAAGGUGGGGAUGACGUCAAAUCAGCACGGCCCUUACGUCCGGGGCUACACACGUGUUACAAUGGGGGGUACAGAGGGCCGCUACCACGCGAGUGGAUGCCAAUCCCCAAAACCUCUCUCAGUUCGGACUGGAGUCUGCAACCCGACUCCACGAAGCUGGAUUCGCUAGUAAUCGCGCAUCAGCCACGGCGCGGUGAAUACGUUCCCGGGCCUUGUACACACCGCCCGUCAAGCCAUGGGAGCCGGGGGUACCUGAAGUGCGUAACCGCGAGGAGCGCCCUAGGGUAAAACUGGUGACUGGGG
Molecule: ribosomal RNA, 1433 nt
Filed under: uncultured organism
Description: SSU rRNA
Rfam family: Bacterial small subunit ribosomal RNA
Source: RNAcentral